This 559-nucleotide ribosomal RNA is filed under the name uncultured bacterium. Its description in RNAcentral is "bacterial SSU rRNA". It matches the Rfam family "Bacterial small subunit ribosomal RNA", at positions 119 to 674 of the family's 1533-position model. The record is from RNAcentral.
AGGAAUCUGCCUGGUAGUGGGGGACAACGUUUCGAAAGGAACGCUAAUACCGCAUACGUCCUACGGGAGAAAGCAGGGGACCUUCGGGCCUUGCGCUAUCAGAUGAGCCUAGGUCGGAUUAGCUAGUUGGUGGGGUAAUGGCUCACCAAGGCGACGAUCCGUAACUGGUCUGAGAGGAUGAUCAGUCACACUGGAACUGAGACACGGUCCAGACUCCUACGGGAGGCAGCAGUGGGGAAUAUUGGACAAUGGGCGAAAGCCUGAUCCAGCCAUGCCGCGUGUGUGAAGAAGGUCUUCGGAUUGUAAAGCACUUUAAGUUGGGAGGAAGGGCAUUAACCUAAUACGUUAGUGUUUUGACGUUACCGACAGAAUAAGCACCGGCUAACUCUGUGCCAGCAGCCGCGGUAAUACAGAGGGUGCAAGCGUUAAUCGGAAUUACUGGGCGUAAAGCGCGCGUAGGUGGUUUGUUAAGUUGGAUGUGAAAGCCCCGGGCUCAACCUGGGAACUGCAUCCAAAACUGGCAAGCUAGAGUACGGUAGAGGGUGGUGGAAUUUCCUGU